ACGGCGUCGAGAAAGACGAGAAAAGUAUGAAAAAAAAAAGAAAGGAUCAAAAAGAAAGGACGAAAUGGAACAAACUCGAAAAAAGAGGAUGCAGAACUGAUUGAUACCUACGAGAGAAGGAAGGGUCCUAACCUUCAGAAGACAUACCCCCGAGGAAGGACGUUCGAAAGUGCCAAUAAUUUUCUGACAUAAACGACGAAACGCCAUCUUUCACGCGAGCCGUAAAGUUUCGGGCGAAGGAAUUUCACGGGGUUUUCGAAAAAUGUCCGUAACUGGCCAUCUGUCUGUAGCCCGGGGCCAAGCUAUAAAAGACUACCGGGACAAAGUAUUGUGCGAAAGAGCUAGAAAAUUCGAGAAUCUAACCUUAAAGUUUGUGUCCGUAUUCGUAAGUUAGGUUAGGUUAUGUUUGGCGAAGAGAUAUCUCACGAAGGAUACCACAGGGUGAGCUAGAAAGUCUAAGGAGCAUGAAGGAUCUUCCUGCGAGUAUAAAACGAUACACGGAAUAUCGAGCCGCCAUCAAUAGCUACACGGCACAUAAUUUACGAGCUCGAUCGAAGCGGACAGUCGUUAAGCGAAACGAUUCCGUCGGGGAGUUCCAGUGGAGGUUAUUGCAUCGCCACGCUUCUCCAUGAUCGGAAGCUUAAUUUAUGCGUGCUAGGAUGUAUCCAGUGGUGAUAGUGUGCUUAUACGUAUAUAUAAUAUAUCAGAGAGAAUACCCACAUGACACAUGAGUAUACUGAGGAAAGGUUAUGUAUUCUGAAUAUGGGUGGGUGGAAAUCAGGAAUGGUCCUGAAAACCAGUUAGAUAUUGGUGUAUACAGUUGAUCAAGAGUUCAUGGUGUACUAACGAUAGCAACAGGAUGGUGCAUAGUAUAGGCACAGGUUCUUACUAGAUUGUACCUGCAUUGGCAAUUGGUACAGGGAUGCUGAGCAGAGAUCAGUGAGAGAAGCCAAGGUCUACGCGAGCGAUGCAAACUCGCACAUACGUUCACGCCGGUCAUUCAGAACCGGCGGCAGAGAAAAAAAGGUCUUAUCCUCAAUGGAGAAUGAGCGUAUACAUAUGUAGUGUGCGAGAACUGGAAAUAGGUACUGGACCCAGCAUCCUCUAGGUCUCCACAGUCUCCUUGAUCUCAACAUAAGAAAAUAUAAGUAAUACCUGUAUACUGCAAAAUAUUCCAGGCUUCCCAAAAGCUUCAAAAAUGAAUAAAGAAAAUGAUUCGUU
Long non-coding RNA from Cephus cinctus (wheat stem sawfly), 1221 nucleotides. RefSeq lists it as uncharacterized. Lineage: Eukaryota; Metazoa; Arthropoda; Insecta; Hymenoptera; Cephidae. The record is from RefSeq and is a predicted model, not a curated record. The transcript is spliced from 2 exons.